RNAcentral lists this long non-coding RNA (503 nucleotides) under Mytilus galloprovincialis (Mediterranean mussel). Lineage: Eukaryota; Metazoa; Mollusca; Bivalvia; Mytilida; Mytilidae. The record is from RNAcentral.
AUCUGAUGCAAAAUUUGCUCGAUCGGUAUAAAAUCCGACGAAAAGCAUGACUUUUGGCCAAGGCGGGUGCUAAAUGUCUAUGUAACCACCACUGACGGUUAUUUGGUACAUAAUGAAUGAUUUUUGGUCUACAGAACUGAAUGUUUACGCCAGACGGCCGUUUAGAUAACACUAAGGAAAGACUGUGGUGCUCUUUAACAAUUUCUGCGCAAAUGGUGCUUUACUGAAACUGCUCCAAAGGUUCUACCGUGACCACCAUUGAACUCUCGUGACCUUUGGACAGCCAUCAGAGUCGAUAUCGGAUAUGUUAAAGACCAAAUGUAUCGUUCUUGCUGAGCGUUUCUUUGCGUUUUGUACCCCGGGGUGUGGCUUAUCAUUAAAUGAUCCAUUUUAGUUGAAUUUGUGGAUGAUUGGUGUUAUUGUAGACGCUACAACUUCAGUCUUCUCGUAAUUGUAUGCUGUGAAAGGCUUCAUUGGAUCAUGCCCAAAACUGCAUGUCGCUG